GCGCGAAAACUUUACAAUGCUGGCAACAGCGAUAAGGGAACCUCGAGUGCCAGGUUACAAAUCUGGCUGUCGUGAUGCCUAAAAAGCAUUGCAUAGCAAGGGCCGGGCAAGACCGGUGCCAGCCGCCGCGGUAACACCGGCGGCUCGAGUGGUAACCGUUAUUAUUGGGUCUAAAGGGUCUGUAGCCGGCCGGCUAAGUCUCUUGGGAAAUCUGGCAGCUUAACUGUCAGGCUUUCAGGAGAUACUGUCUGGCUCGAGGCCGGGAGAGGUAAGAGGUACUGCAGGGGUAGGGGUGAAAUCUUGUAAUCCUUGAAGGACCACCAGUGGCGAAGGCGGCUUACCAGAACGGACCUGACGGCAAGGGACGAAAGCUAGGGGCACGAACC
Molecule: ribosomal RNA, 386 nt
Filed under: uncultured prokaryote
Description: bacterial SSU rRNA
Rfam family: Archaeal small subunit ribosomal RNA
Source: RNAcentral